GUGAAUUUAGAGCGUAACUUCGGUUAGCUCAACCUUCAUUUUCCAACUCUGUGCACUAUUGGCGGACUGGGAGCAAGUAAUUGCUAUUCAGUCUGCGGCUCACUAUUAAACAUUAGUUAAAGUAUGUAUAUAAAAACAAAACAAA
RNAcentral lists this unclassified non-coding RNA (145 nucleotides) under Apiotrichum futronense. RNAcentral's name for it is "[Rhodotorula] futronensis ITS 1". The record is from RNAcentral. Lineage: Eukaryota; Fungi; Basidiomycota; Tremellomycetes; Trichosporonales; Trichosporonaceae.